AAUAGAUACCCGGGUAGUCCACGCCGUAAACGAUGAGUACUAAGUGUUAGGGGGUUCCGCCCCUCAGUGCUGCAGCUAACGCAUUAAGCACUCCGCCUGGGGAGUACGGUCGCAAGACUGAAACUCAAAGGAAUUGACGGGGGCCCGCACAGGCGGUGGAGCAUGUGGUUUAACUCGAAGCAACGCGAAGAACCUUACCAGGUCUUGACAUCCCGGUGACCACUAUGGAGACAUAGUUUCCCCUUCGGGGGCAACGGUGACAGGUGGUGCAUGGUUGUCGUCAGCUCGUGUCGUGAGAUGUUGGGUUAAGUCCCGCAACGAGCGCAACCCUUAUUCUUAGUUGCCAUCAUUCAGUUGGGCACUCUAAGGAGACUGCCGGCUAAAAGUCGGAGGAAGGUGGGGAUGACGUCAAAUCAUCAUGCCCCUUAUGACCUGGGCUACACACGUGCUACAAUGGACGGUACAAACGGUUGUCGAGGUCGCGAGACGGAGCGUAAUCCGAGAAAACCGUUACUCAGUUCGGAUUGUCAGGCUGCAGCUCG
RNAcentral lists this ribosomal RNA (542 nucleotides) under uncultured bacterium. Its description in RNAcentral is "bacterial SSU rRNA". It matches the Rfam family "Bacterial small subunit ribosomal RNA", at positions 777 to 1314 of the family's 1533-position model. The record is from RNAcentral.